UACGUAGGGUGCGAGCGUUGUCCGGAAUUACUGGGCGUAAAGAGCUCGUAGGUGGUUUGUCGCGUUGUUCGUGAAAACUCACAACUCAAUUGUGGGCGUGCGGGCGAUACGGGCAGACUGGAGUACUGCAGGGGAGACUGGAAUUCCUGGUGUAGCGGUGGAAUGCGCAGAUAUCAGGAGGAACACCGGUGGCGAAGGCGGUUCUCUGGGAAUGUCCUGACGCUGAGGAGCGAAAGUGUGGGGAGCGAACAGG
This 253-nucleotide ribosomal RNA is filed under the name uncultured bacterium. RNAcentral's name for it is "partial 16S ribosomal RNA". It matches the Rfam family "Bacterial small subunit ribosomal RNA", at positions 524 to 776 of the family's 1533-position model. The record is from RNAcentral.